Molecule: ribosomal RNA, 207 nt
Filed under: uncultured bacterium
Lineage: Bacteria
Description: partial 16S ribosomal RNA
Rfam family: Bacterial small subunit ribosomal RNA
Source: RNAcentral
CGUGUAGGCGGUUUCGUAUGUCUGACGUGAAAGCCCCGGGCUCACCCCGGGAAGUGCGUUGGAAACUGCGGAACUAGAGUCUUGGAGAGGGAGGUGGAAUUCCAGGUGUAGCGGUGAAAUGCGUAGAUAUCUGGAAGAACACCGGUGGCGAAGGCGACCUCCUGGACGAUGACUGACGCUGAGACGCGAAAGCGUGGGGAGCAAACA